This 4317-nucleotide long non-coding RNA is filed under the name Heterocephalus glaber (naked mole-rat). RNAcentral's name for it is "lncRNA (ENSHGLG00000039850.1)". The record is from RNAcentral. Lineage: Eukaryota; Metazoa; Chordata; Mammalia; Rodentia; Bathyergidae.
UCAAUGAUCCUAAACAAAACUUCAUCUGCAAGCCUAAGUGCAGGUCCUAGACACAACAAGACUCUGUGAGGAGAGAGAAGAGAGAGGGAGAUGAAGAAGGAGACAGGGAAUUUGCACUCACAAAGGUGCCCGAAGCCUGAGGACGCACCCUUGGGUACCGGGCACACCUGCUGUGGGGCUGACACGUGGCUCCUUCAGGUAGGUCUGGAUUGUUCGUUUGUUAGCUCAUUCAGCACAGGGAGCUGCAGGGAGUUAAACAGACUCUGAUGGCUUUUACUCAUCGAGCAAUUCCUGCCCUGAAUCUGCAUAAUGCUUCUACCACGAAUCAUCACUUUUGCACAAGUAGAAAUAGUGGAAGCAACAACUUUCAGAAAAAUGCUUGGUUCCAUGACUUUCACUUGUUUCCAAGCCAAGGAAGCAGCACCACCGGCUUGGCACCUGCCCUUGGGGUCCAGGCUACUUGGGGACUGUCUGACCUUAGGUCAGAUGGGCAAGCUGGUGGGCUCUAACACUUUCCUUUGUGAUCGCUGUGCCCAAAUGUGCCCCCACUGGGCCAGGAGACUCAAGGCCACACUACUGAUGUGGAACCAGUAUUCAGCAACUUGCUGAAAAAUGAAGCACGCAUUUCCAUUGCUAUCUAAAGAUGGAUCUUACUCCAAUUAUAGAUCCCCCCAUACUCAUAUUCAUCUGUGUAACAGUACACAGCAUCUACUUCAGAAUUUAUUUGGGCAAAUGUUUAUGGUAAACUGAGGCAAACAUCUGUACAGUUCACCAGAAAGAUAAGAAAUUGAGGAAAAAUAUCUUGCAGGAAUUAUCUAUGUAAUUACUUCAGAUUUCUGUAUGACGUGUAGUUCUACUUGGAAUAAAAUACUAAAACUUUAUCUAUUAACAGAUAUCUAUUUGCUAAGAAUAUUAAUUUUUUUGACUUUCAAAGUAUAUCUGACCACACAGCCAGUCAAAUAUCAUGACUUUUUCUUGAAUGCAUAUAAAUACUGAUAUUAUAAAAUCCUGGGUUUUUAUAUAAGGCAUAACGUCCAACUCUAUCUGCACAGAUAUCCACAUUAGCUGUGUUUUGACUUGUUAUUCAGAAAACAUUGAUGCUAGCUUCAUACAAAUUAUUUCCUUUACUUUUCCAAUAAGUAUCAAAAUAGAGGCUAGAAAUGAAAGGGUAGAAACUGCAAAUGAAAAGCUAUAUAUUUGUAAAUAAAAUGUGAAGACAUCUGCCAAACUAAGGGGCGUAUGUACAUCUUUAUGGCAACUUUCCCAUUACAUGAGUAGCUCAGGUACUUUUACAAAAACAUUAAGUGAUAAAUCCAUGUGAGGAUAAAUGCAGUAAUGUGCAUGUGAGCAUACACAUAUAUGUGCACACACAGAUGGCAAAUUUACAAAGCAUGUCAGAUAGCUGGUGACCACUAUUGAAUUAAGAAUAGCAGAUUACUGAGUCACCCCAGAUUCCAUUAUAUUCAUACAUAAAUUGUGCAUUUAUAAAAAUCUUACAAAUAAUUUUCCCAGGAAGACAUUAUGGGUAACAAUUUAACACAUGUAAUAAGAAAACAUCUUAACAUCUUAAAAUCACAAUUAGAUAAAUUAAACAGUUCAAUAAGCAUAUGGCUAUCAUGAGUAAAGAAUUCUAUUUAGAAAGACUUCUCCAUUUUUUAUGUUUGAAAGAGUGGCAUGUUCCUUAAAUUUUUCAUCCUAACAUAUUGUUUGUAAGCUUUGUCUUAAUGGAAGGAAAGUAAAGCAUUUUGAAAUACAACCCAAUAGAAAGCCAAACACACAUUCCGAUCAGUCAUUCAUAUGAAGAGAAGUUUAAAGGUACUGCAAAAUUGAAAGUAGGUUUGUUGUCAAAUCCUGUAAACUGGAUAGACUGUUUGAAUUAACAGACGGCUAACUCUAUUGAACUGAACAGUUUUACCAAGACGUGAUGGAAACUUGGUUGACAACGUGUUGUGUUCUGAGAAGAAUGAGGCCACCUGAUGCAAAAGUGGACGCGGGAUCAAACUGGGAAGAAAUCUUUCAUGUCAGUUUUCUGAGACUAUUCAUACUCAUCUGUGUCACGGUAACAGCAUAUCUCAUCUUAAAAGUGAAAUGCUAAGUGUCUGAGGAACAGGUUGUACUGCUCAAUGACCAGGGUAAUCAGCACGAACCUAACAUUUAUCCUGAUAAUAACCAGUGAAUGUGCAAAGGGGAAGAGACAGACUUACUGCAUCCAUGAAAACACCGUGUCCCUCUUUAACAUUUAUAAUAUCUAUAUAUAGCACUAUAUUUCAUUAUUAAAGACACAGACAGCAAAAAUAUUCACAUUUAAACUUCUUACAGAAGUUAUUCUUCUAUUGAGGAAAACCGAUUACACUAACUAACGGGCAACCAAACAGGGAAUUCUGCUCGGGAGACUUAUUCAGCUGAGGGUUUCUUUUUAAAAUACAGUUUAGAAAAGUAAUGAAAGAGGUCCCAGGUAUAUUUUCCAUUUGGAGGUCAUCCCUUUCAAUCUGAGUUAUGGUUCAUGGGUAAAGUCAGAGCUUUUGGUGAAAUAAAUGAAUAAUGCCAAUUUAUUUCUUAUAAACAAAUGCGUACAUCAAAAAACUGGAAUUGCUGCACAGCGCCUGGCAAGAUGAGUGAGAUGACUAAGGACGAAGUGGUUCCUUGAGCCCCUGUCUUUAGACCUGGCGCCCUCCUCAGAAGGCCCGCAGGUGUGAGUCCUGGGCUGGGGCUCCAUCGCUCUGAGAGGGCUGCCUUCUUUCCAGUCCAGCUCUCCUACCCGCUCUUUUACCGCGGAGAUGAGGAGUAGCCAAAGCGUAAUAAUUACGCUUAAUAUACAUAUAUGAGUGGAGCUAUAGAAUAGUGGGGAUCAUAGUGGGUAAGAGUGUUUGGUGUGCAAACUUGUGGCUACCACCCCCAACACAAGCACACAAGCGCACACACAUUUAGUAUGUAAAACGGAAGUGUAAUUAACGGGUUCACCACUCUUGUACAGUAUUUCUCAAGGUAGAGUUCACAGACCAAAGGAGAUCCUUACAAAUGCUUAAGACCUUGGUAUCACUGCUUUAAGCAAACACAGACUCCUGUGCCUCAUGGCAAAUAAGAAACAAAAAUAAAAGACAAUGACUAAUUCUGAAAAAUACAUGACAACUCCCCCCAUAUUGGACUUCGUCUUCUUACAUUACCUAUUUAUGGCCUAUUUGUAUCAAAUAGUGUUUCCAAGGAAAAAGAAUUAUAGUACAUAGUGGAAAAACCAGUGUCAAAUGCUAUUAUGCGUGCCAAAGUCAAGUAGCCAUGAUUUGUGGUACUGCUUAGAAUCAGCAGUGAUAAUCACGGAGCAAAAACUGUAAUGACUUCCCCUGGGAAGACUACUACGAUUACUGUGCACUUCAGGGAGAUGAGAAGCAUCCAGGGCUGGGAAGGUGAGUGUGCAGUCUGUACCUCAUUUCCGCUGGAGAAGGGAGAAGGGAGAGGCCGGACCCACGGAGAAGGCCGGAAGGAGCCCAGCAGGAGCCCAGCCGGGCUGCUGGAUGGGAUUAAGGGCGGCGGCAGCGCCCCCUGGCGAGGGACCCGCUCUGAGCGCCAAGGGCGGGAGAAAAGGCGCCCCAGGUGGGGCUUCCUCAGGCCCAGAGGGGGCUUUGUGGCUUUCACCUGCUGUCUUUUAAACUCAAGCAAUCGGGUUAACCGAAUGACCCUAGGAAGUGCGACGGAGUUCAGGUAUCUUAGAGAAUCACGACCACAGAAGUGGAAGGGUUUCCCCAUUUCAUUCCUGGAGGAAAAGGGAUGUCGGGCACUUUCCAUGGCUGAGGGAACAGAAUGGAUUUCUGAGUCUUUGGGCAGUAGAGAAAUCUUAACCUCGGAUGGAUGCCUGACUGUAGAAUUCCUAUUCCUCGGCAGCGGAGUCCAAGCUUCCGCAUUCUUACAGGGACACUGGUGCCCCCAGACUGUGGCACCCCCGGUCAGCAGUGCGCUCUGCCCCGUGCCCAGGGACAGCCCUGUUGCCGGUGAGGUCAGCGCAGCUGGGGAAGGAGGACGCGCGUUUCGCUGCAAUAAGCAGAGUGAAAAGAGCUCAUGUUUUCACCUACGUUUUACGUGUGUAUUUCAAGUUCAGUGUAGGCAAGAACUGCUGAUAUUAUCACUGUGGGCGAGGUACAUAAAAACCCUAGGAACUGGCAUCACAUAUCGAGACCAACGCAAAUACAUUUAUAGCGAUGGAAAACAUAAAAGAAAUGUUAAAUGUUUUUAUCAUAAGAAAAAAUGAAGUUAAAUGAUCCAAAACCUGAACAAAAAUUAAUGCAGAUACUCAGUACAUGAGAAAAUUAUUUGGAUAUAAAAAGU